UAAGGCUGGUGAAGAUUAUUUCUCGAUC
Molecule: non-coding RNA, 28 nt
Filed under: Mus musculus (house mouse)
Lineage: Eukaryota; Metazoa; Chordata; Mammalia; Rodentia; Muridae
Source: RNAcentral